ACGAAUAUGAAACAAUUAGGUUUCUUACAUUUUUAAAAUGUAAGAUGAAAAGGGAAGUUGGUGAAAGUCCAACACGGUCCCGCCACUGUAAUCGUUGAGGGAAGCUAACAUAUCUCCACUGUGUUUAUUCAUGGGAAGGAGUAGCUAACUGUUGAAGCGUAAGUCAGGAGACCUGCCUAGUCUGUUUUUUAAGC
RNAcentral lists this non-coding RNA (194 nucleotides) under Anaerobacillus alkalilacustris. Lineage: Bacteria; Bacillati; Bacillota; Bacilli; Caryophanales; Bacillaceae. RNAcentral also lists the same sequence under 1 other name. The record is from RNAcentral.